RNAcentral lists this ribosomal RNA (495 nucleotides) under uncultured bacterium. RNAcentral's name for it is "bacterial SSU rRNA". It matches the Rfam family "Bacterial small subunit ribosomal RNA", at positions 879 to 1385 of the family's 1533-position model. The record is from RNAcentral.
AGUACGGCCGCAAGGCUAAAACUCAAACGAAUUGACGGGGACCCGCACAAGCAGCGGAGCGUGUGGUUUAAUUCGAUGCUACACGAAGAACCUUACCUGGGUUUGACAUGUAGGUGGUAGCGAAGUGAAAGCGGAGCGACCCUUUUGGGAGCCUACACAGGUGCUGCAUGGCUGUCGUCAGCUCGUGCCGUGAGGUGUCGGGUUAAGUCCCGUAACGAGCGCAACCCUUGUCCUUAGUUACAAGUGUCUAAGGAGACUGCCGGUGACAAACCGAAGGAAGGUGGGGAUGACGUCAAGUCAGCAUGGCCCUUAUGUCCAGGGCGACACACACGCUACAAUGGCCGGUACAAAGGGCAGCGCAGCCGCGAGGUGAAGCGAAUCCCAACAAAGCCGGUCCCAGUUCGGAUUGCAGGCUGCAACCCGCCUGCAUGAAGUCGGAGUUGCUAGUAACCGCGCGUCAGCCAUAGUGCGGUGAAUACGUUCCCGGGUCUUGUA